This 594-nucleotide ribosomal RNA is filed under the name Colletotrichum siamense. RNAcentral's name for it is "eukaryotic LSU rRNA". The stretch from base 229 to 382 matches the Rfam family "5.8S ribosomal RNA". The record is from RNAcentral. Lineage: Eukaryota; Fungi; Ascomycota; Sordariomycetes; Glomerellales; Glomerellaceae.
GAGGAAGUAAAAGUCGUAACAAGGUCUCCGUUGGUGAACCAGCGGAGGGAUCAUUACUGAGUUUACGCUCUAUAACCCUUUGUGAACAUACCUAUAACUGUUGCUUCGGCGGGUAGGGUCUCCGUGACCCUCCCGGCCUCCCGCCCCCGGGCGGGUCGGCGCCCGCCGGAGGAUAACCAAACUCUGAUUUAACGACGUUUCUUCUGAGUGGUACAAGCAAAUAAUCAAAACUUUUAACAACGGAUCUCUUGGUUCUGGCAUCGAUGAAGAACGCAGCGAAAUGCGAUAAGUAAUGUGAAUUGCAGAAUUCAGUGAAUCAUCGAAUCUUUGAACGCACAUUGCGCCCGCCAGCAUUCUGGCGGGCAUGCCUGUUCGAGCGUCAUUUCAACCCUCAAGCUCUGCUUGGUGUUGGGGCCCUACAGCUGAUGUAGGCCCUCAAAGGUAGUGGCGGACCCUCCCGGAGCCUCCUUUGCGUAGUAACUUUACGUCUCGCACUGGGAUCCGGAGGGACUCUUGCCGUAAAACCCCCAAUUUUCCAAAGGUUGACCUCGGAUCAGGUAGGAAUACCCGCUGAACUUAAGCAUAUCAAUAAGC